GAUGAACGCUGGCGGCGUGCCUAAUACAUGCAAGUCGAGCGAACAGACGAGGAGCUUGCUCCUCUGACGUUAGCGGCGGACGGGUGAGUAACAAGUGGAUAACCUACCUAUAAGACUGGGAUAACUUCGGGAAACCGGAGCUAAUACCGGAUAAUAUAUUGAACCGCAUGGUUCAAUAGUGAAAGACGGUUUUGCUGUCACUUAUAGAUGGAUCCGCGGCGCAUUAGCUAGUUGGUAAGGUAACGGCUUACCAAGGCAACGAUGCGUAGCCGACCUGAGAGGGUGAUCGGCCACACUGGAACUGAGACACGGUCCAGACUCCUACGGGAGGCAGCAGUAGGGAAUCUUCCGCAAUGGGCGAAAGCCUGACGGAGCAACGCCGCGUGAGUGAUGAAGGUCUUCGGAUCGUAAAACUCUGUUAUUAGGGAAGAACAAAUGUGUAAGUAACUAUGCACGUCUUGACGGUACCUAAUCAGAAAGCCACGGCUAACUACGUG
RNAcentral lists this ribosomal RNA (497 nucleotides) under uncultured bacterium. RNAcentral describes it as "partial 16S ribosomal RNA". It matches the Rfam family "Bacterial small subunit ribosomal RNA", at positions 28 to 507 of the family's 1533-position model. The record is from RNAcentral.